Molecule: non-coding RNA, 47 nt
Organism: Schistosoma haematobium
Lineage: Eukaryota; Metazoa; Platyhelminthes; Trematoda; Strigeidida; Schistosomatidae
Source: Rfam
AUCCAACUGACGAGUUCCGAAUAGGACGAAACACGCGCCUGUUGGAU